UGCAUUUAUCCAAAAAGCGGAGGAAAAGAAACUAACAAGGAUUCCCCUAGUAACGGCGAGUGAAGCGGGAUGAGCUCAAAUUUAAAAUCUGGCGGCCUCAGGUCGUCCGAGUUGUAGUCUAGAGAAUCGUUUUCCGCGUUGGCCUGUGUACAAGUCCCUUGGAACAGGGCGUCAUAGAGGGUGAGAAUCCCGUCCUUGACACAGAUUACCAAUGCUUUGUGAUGCGAUCUCGAAGAGUCGAGUUGUUUGGGAAUGCAGCUCAAAAUGGGUGGUAAAUUCCAUCUAAAGCUAAAUAUUGGCGAGAGACCGAUAGCGAACAAGUACCGUGAGGGAAAGAUGAAAAGCACUUUGGAAAGAGAGUUAAACAGUACGUGAAAUUGUUAAAAGGGAAACGAUUGAAGUCAGUCAUGCUUUCCGAGACUCAGCCGAUUCUGUCGGUGUACUUCUCGGUUGGCAGGCCAGCAUCAGUUUCGAUCUGUGGAAAAGGUUGGAGGGAACGUGGCAUCUUCGGAUGUGUUAUAGCCCUUCUUCGAAUACAUAGAGCGGGACUGAGGAACGCAGCGCGCCUUUUAUUAGGUUGACCCUCGGGUACAUACGCGCUUAGGAUGCUGGCAUAAUGGCUUUAAACGACCCGUCUUGAACCCCACGA
Molecule: ribosomal RNA, 649 nt
Filed under: Mrakia blollopis
Lineage: Eukaryota; Fungi; Basidiomycota; Tremellomycetes; Cystofilobasidiales; Mrakiaceae
Description: partial large subunit ribosomal RNA
Rfam family: Eukaryotic large subunit ribosomal RNA
Source: RNAcentral